CGAACGGGUGAGUAAGCAUCGGAACGUACCCGUUGUGGGGGAUAACGUACGAAAGUUACGCUAAUACCGCAUACGCACUGAGGUGGAAAGCGGGGGACCUUUGGGCCUCGCGCAAUUGGAGCGGCCGAUGUCGGAUUAGCUAGUUGGUGAGUAAAAGCUCACCAAGGCGACGAUCCGUAGCUGGUCUGAGAGGAUGAUCAGCCACACUGGGACUGAGACACGGCCCAGACUCCUACGGGAGGCAGCAGUGGGGAAUUUUGGACAAUGGGCGAAAGCCUGAUCCAGCCAUGCCGCGUGAGUGAAGAAGGCCUUCGGGUUGUAAAGCUCUUUCAGACGGAAAGAAAUAGCCUCGGUGAAUAUCCGAGGUUGAUGACGGUACCGUAAGAAGAACACCGGUUAACUACGUGCCACACCGCGGUAAUACUAGGUGCGACGUUAAUCGGAAUUACUGGGCGUAAAGCGUGCGCAGGCGGUUACUUGAGACAGGAAUUGUUGGAAAAUCCCCCCCGGGGGGCUUUAAACCUGGGGGAAAACUGGGGUUUUGGGUGGAACUUGGGUGUGGAACUUAANAAGUUACGGGUCAAAAAGGGGGGGGGUUGG
Molecule: ribosomal RNA, 600 nt
Filed under: uncultured bacterium
Lineage: Bacteria
Description: partial 16S ribosomal RNA
Rfam family: Bacterial small subunit ribosomal RNA
Source: RNAcentral